RNAcentral lists this ribosomal RNA (437 nucleotides) under uncultured bacterium. Its description in RNAcentral is "partial 16S ribosomal RNA". It matches the Rfam family "Bacterial small subunit ribosomal RNA", at positions 29 to 507 of the family's 1533-position model. The record is from RNAcentral.
AGCGAACGCUGGCGGCAGGCUUAACACAUGCAAGUCGAGCGGGCAUCCUUGUGGUGUCAGCGGCAGACGGGUGAGUAACGCGUGGGAACGUGCCCUUCGGUUCGGAAUAACUCAGGGAAACUUGAGCUAAUACCGGAUACGUGCGAGAGCAGAAAGGUUUAUCUGCCGAAGGAUCGGCCCGCGUCUGAUUAGCUAGUUGGUGAGGUUAUGGCUCACCAAGGCGACGAUCAGUAGCUGGUCUGAGAGGAUGAUCAGCCACACUGGGACUGAGACACGGCCCAGACUCCUACGGGAGGCAGCAGUGGGGAAUAUUGGACAAUGGGGGCAACCCUGAUACAGCCAUGCCGCGUGAGUGAUGACGGCCUUAGGGUUGUAAAGCUCUUUUCUUCGGGACGAUAAUGACGGUACCGGAGGAAUAAGCCCCGGCUAACUUCGUG